This 64-nucleotide transfer RNA is filed under the name Typhlatya pearsei. Its description in RNAcentral is "tRNA-His". It matches the Rfam family "tRNA". From Rfam's summary of the family: Transfer RNA (tRNA) molecules are approximately 80 nucleotides in length. Lineage: Eukaryota; Metazoa; Arthropoda; Malacostraca; Decapoda; Atyidae. The record is from RNAcentral.
AUUUAAGUAGUUUAAAUAAAAUAUUGGUCUGUGAAUCCAAAGAUGUAUAAAGUUACCUUAAGUA